RNAcentral lists this long non-coding RNA (2935 nucleotides) under Homo sapiens (human). RNAcentral describes it as "non-protein coding LINC00838:4". The record is from RNAcentral. Lineage: Eukaryota; Metazoa; Chordata; Mammalia; Primates; Hominidae.
ACAGAGUGUGCACUAUCAUCGUAACAGCAGAGACGGAGAGCAAGAUGUGAGGAGGUUAAAAGUCAGGGUCAGAAGUUCAGGUUGCUCUGACCCUCAAAUCAAUUUCAAGCACUGUUUGUGACAUUUUCCUGUGUUCCCUCGCUUGAUGUUAGUCUUUGCAAUGAACCACCGAAUCAGACUUCAGGGCUCAUGGGACUUUGGGGUUUCAGUAGGGUCAGGUCAAUUUCUACCUACCAGUGUACUGUCACCUAUGAGGCAAACCAUUAUCUAGGCGUUUGAGAACCUCAAAGUUUUGAAGCUCUGAGGGGAAAGAGAGAGGAUGAAGCGCUGGGGCCCCUGUGUCUUUGGGGCCUGACAUAGCUCAACCUGUGGCUUCAGGGGGACCGUGUGCAGCCAGGUCACAGUGGUACCGGAAAGGGAUCCUGAUCCAGACCCCAAGAGAGGGUUCUUGGAUCUCGUGCAAGAAAAAAUUCAGGCUGAUGGCACUAAGGCUGAACCCAGAAGCUGCAGCAGUGGACGGAUGAUGAUCUGAAGAAAUGAGAUCCCUGAUGGGCUUGGAAGUCAUGGUUCCUGUAACCAUGAUGUCACACCCUCGUCCUGACACCGAGAUGGGCUGGACACAUCUGUCACCCAGGGCAAACAAAAUGCUUGGUCUGCAUCUUUCAGAAGAAAACUAAAAAUCAAGUAAUUUCUUAGAAGUUUGCUUGCGUGUGGCUUAAGUCUUCUUCUCCUGUUGAGGAAGGUGUUGAGUUUGACCAUGACAGCCCCACCCAGUCCUUGGCUCAUCUCACCCAUCAAAGAGGAUCUGGAGAUUCAGAGCUAUGCCGUGGAAGACCUUGUCAGAGCACCAGGCCAUACUGUGCUGCAGGUGGGGUUCAGGUGCCCAGUGACAACCACCGGGGCCGCUCAUCCCUAAACGUCUGUUGAACUUAAAGUUCUACUCAAGACUUUCUACAUUAAAUACCCUUUCAUACAGCAAAAUCAGCCAUGUUCUGAGAUGUGAAACUGCAGCACAAAGUUACUGUGGUCUCCACCUAUAGAAAUGGAAUGUUACUUCAUAAAGCCCCAGGCCAAAAAAGAAACCCCAAAACUCUGAAACGACACCCUUAAAUUUAACCUGAACAUCUGGCCAGCCUCCUCCAUCAUUGAAACUUCUCCUGAGUGUUGGCAUGGAUCCUAUGUUUCUCCAGCCAGGGAGCUUUGCUCCCCAUUCUUGAUGGACCCACUGAGUCCCAAUUUUCUACAUUUUACUUGGGUCAUUCCACCACUUUGGGAUGCUUUUCCUACUCUGUUGUACUUUAAAAAUGUUUCUUCUUUCCUAUUCUCAGCUUCACGCAUUUGUCUUCUUUCUCAAUUCAACUUGCUUAGUUCUCGCUACAUCAAUUCCUAGAGCCAUCCAUCUGCACUUCUGAAUCAUUUAAGUUUUGUUUGGCUACAAGUAAUGGAAACCCACUCUGAGUAACUCAAGCAAGAACUGGAAUUUAUUGGAAGGACAGUGGGAUAUAUCAUAAGAUCCAAAAAGAAUUGAACAAAUAAAAUUUCAGAGGGAAGAAAAAGGGCAGCUCCAGUGACUUCAGCAACAAGACAACAUAAGUCUUUCUAGAGCAUAGCUACUAAUAUUAUUCAGCUGCAAGAGCCCCUCCCCAUGAGAAACUUGAUUGAAAAUUCUGAUUUCCCACAGAGAAGAAUCUGAUCGACUCAGUUUAGCUUUGGUUGCCCAACUGCUCAAUCUUGCAUGAAUUAUUUCCAGCCAAGGGGACAAGGUGUAUUAUAGGGACACACCUGCUUUCUCCAAAGAAAAGAUCUGGGCAUUUCCUGAUCAUUUCCCUGAGAAGGAGGAAUCAUUGUGAGCCAAGAAGAUACCUCAAGUAUAAUGAGCUCAGUUACACUUUUUUGAUAUCUGAGUAUUUGGUAUGUAGUGUGCAUUUUAAAAAACAUGUCUCUCUCCAGGACAAUGUUAACCUCUUCCACGGUGGAGUGGGGCUAUGUGAUUUUGUGCUUAAUUUACCUAGCUGGUGGGCCUCCAGUAGAGGCUGUAGUCGAGCCAGCUGAUACCACAUCAGUUCUCCAAAGGAACAAAAGCUGCCCUUCCUUCCUUAUUGCAAAGUUUGACAAAAAGCAAAACGUGAAGAAUAAAAGCGACUUGCAUUGUCUAACAUCUACCGCAGUGUUUGAGCUGCAGCUGCUCCUCCUCCCCUGAUUGUUUUCAAAUAUUUCUUCAAAAAAGGCAUUAAAGAAAAACACAAGAUAUUGCACAGGGAACCAAAACAAAUCACAAUCUUCAAGGACAAAGCAUUGCAAAAUGGCUUACAUCCCCAAAUGGGAACAGAUAUGGUUGGAAAUUAAAACAAUCUUUUUUAUUUUAAGCGGAAAUGCUAGCAGAUGCCACAAGAAACAUAUGGAACUCGCCACAGACAAAUAGGGAAUGCUUUCUGCGUGUGGAAGUAGAGCAAAGGGAGUGACCACCUCUGACUGUCAGGGGGAACCAUCAGCUCGAACUGUUUGCUAUGGCAGGAGGGAGUUUGCAGAGUCCGGAGUCCUGCCCUCAUGAAAAAGCUUUAACGGUCUUGACUGAGUAAUUUAAGUCAUUCUUGUCAGGGAGUUUCAGAACACUAUGCACAAUUAUAUUUAUUUCACAAUGCAUUGAUUCCAGAUAUCUUUUUAAAUGUGCUUACCUCUGUGUGCGUUGUUACCUGUUCCCUCUUUGAAUCUCUGAAUGAAACAAAAUAAAUAGGAAAAAAUGGAGACAUAGAAGCAUUGUCCACAAGGCAUCUCCCACUCUAGAGGUCUCCCAGCCCCGUGCUAGCUUGUUAAUUUAUUAUCGCUUGUCUGUCAAACAAGGAAGAUAUAAUUUGCCACACAACAUGUUUUCCUAAAGCAAUGUUUUUGUACAAUUUCCUGAUUUCCAAAAAUAUGACCAAUGAUAUUCUGGUUG